Molecule: transfer RNA, 71 nt
Filed under: Candidatus Hodgkinia cicadicola
Lineage: Bacteria; Pseudomonadati; Pseudomonadota; Alphaproteobacteria; Hyphomicrobiales
Description: tRNA-Val
Rfam family: tRNA
About the family: Transfer RNA (tRNA) molecules are approximately 80 nucleotides in length. Their secondary structure includes four short double-helical elements and three loops (D, anti-codon, and T loops). Further hydrogen bonds mediate the characteristic L-shaped molecular structure. tRNAs have two regions of fundamental functional importance: the anti-codon, which is responsible for specific mRNA codon recognition, and the 3' end, to which the tRNAs corresponding amino acid is attached (by aminoacyl-tRNA synthetases). tRNAs cope with the degeneracy of the genetic code in two manners: having more than one tRNA (with a specific anti-codon) for a particular amino acid; and 'wobble' base-pairing, i.e. permitting non-standard base-pairing at the 3rd anti-codon position.
Source: RNAcentral
GCGACUGUAACUUAAUGGCAAAGUGCAAGACUGUGGAUCUUGAAAAGGCGAUUCGAAUCCGCCCGGUCGUA